UUCAANCUUUAAUUUCCAACCGGNUNGGGGUUUAGACCGAUGAGAAUCAGGUUGGAUUCUAUCUUAAUAAUAAAAUAAUUUUAAAUUAGUACGAAAGGAAUUUUAAAAUGUAAUUAUUAGGAUAAACCAUUUUAUUUGCAUCAAUUUUUGUAAUU
This 155-nucleotide ribosomal RNA is filed under the name Rhipicephalus compositus. RNAcentral's name for it is "partial 16S ribosomal RNA". Lineage: Eukaryota; Metazoa; Arthropoda; Arachnida; Ixodida; Ixodidae. The record is from RNAcentral.